RNAcentral lists this unclassified non-coding RNA (240 nucleotides) under soil metagenome. RNAcentral describes it as "partial contains 5.8S ribosomal RNA, internal transcribed spacer 2, and large subunit ribosomal RNA". The record is from RNAcentral.
AACGGUCUAUACCUGCGGUACCUGCGGAGGGAUCAUUACAGAGUUACUACUCCAAACCCAUUGUGAACCUUACCUAUGUUCUGUUGCCUCGGCGGCGCGGUCAGCGCCCCUCUGAAAAGAGGACGAUGCCCUCCCGCCGGCAGCACCAAACUCUUGAAUUUUACAGCGGAUUACAGUUCUGAUUUAAAAACAAAAAAAACAAGUUAAAACUUUCAACAACGGAUCUCUAGAUCGGAAGAG